Molecule: ribosomal RNA, 253 nt
Filed under: uncultured bacterium
Lineage: Bacteria
Description: partial 16S ribosomal RNA
Rfam family: Bacterial small subunit ribosomal RNA
Source: RNAcentral
UACGUAGGGUGUAAGCGUUAAUCGGAAUUACUGGGCGUAAAGCGUGCGCAGGCGGUUGUGCAAGACCGAUGUGAAAUCCCCGGGCUUAACCUGGGAAUGGCAUUGGUGACUGCACGGCUAGAGUGUGUCAGAGGGGGGUAGAAUUCCACGUGUAGCAGUGAAAUGCGUAGAGAUGUGGAGGAAUACCGAUGGCGAAGGCAGCCCCCUGGGAUAACACUGACGCUCAUGCACGAAAGCGUGGGGAGCAAACAGG